GGCUUAUUCCAGGAAUGUUUUCAUUUUUCUUUCUAAGGUCAACCUGAUCACACUGCCGAGGCUACAAGCACACAAAGGCUGCAGGCACAUAAACAAAAGAUGAAAAAACAGACUCCCGGGCAGAGAAAACAGGGUCAGAGGUGUUGCCGUGCCUGUGAGGCCUUUGCUGGCCGCCUGCGUUCCGGUGGCAGCCAGUGACCGUCCUGCACCUUCCUGCCGACUGCAGAGACCUCAGGCCACCCUUGGCUCUGACCUGUGUUUCCCAGGCUGCCUCUGCACCUGCCUGCUAAAGCCUUCCUCGGUUUCCUUUGGUUACCAGAGUGAAGGGGUAAGACUCCAGGCACCCGGCUUGAAGACACAUUGGCCCGGAGUAAACGCUGUUCUGCCAACUGCGGGUGUUGCAGCCAAUUCCUUUCUAAUCCUUAAUUUCCUUGUCUGUAUGAAGGACAGUCAUGGAAGUUGCAUGAGACAUGCAUCCAAUGUUUGCCACAGAGGAAGUCCUCUGCAGGCAUUAACUCUCAUGUUAUUAAAGCGCCUGCCAUUUUAUGGUGACUUCCUCUUUUCACAUUAAUCUGUCUUAUUCUGCUAUCAUCCUUUUCAUGUUACAAACCUGAAAGCUAAUAAAAGAUUACCAAUUCCACUACAGUAUAUAUUCUAUCCUUGGGUCUUUUAUUUUGGCAUAGUCUAAAGCACUGUGCAGCACAUAGAAGUGUCCAAUAAAUCUUUGGCAAAUUAAAGAGAUUGAAGUAUUAAUAGCAUUAACAUUCAUUCUGUAUUUUCUUUGUGCUGGGCCCCGUCCUAAGUGUUUUACAUGCUUGAACUCCUUUAAUCUUUACUAACCGUCUUGAAACGUAAGUACUGUAUGAAUGAAAUACAUUUUUGAUGAAUUAAAAGAAUGCCGUUUUUGUUGCCAUAGCAACACGGGUCUGAAAAUAUGAAUCCAAGUUUAGAAGCCGUAAUCAUUGUUUUCUGCCUCAGUUUUAAUGUGCUGUUGAAGGUAUUUAUAUGAAAAUAGCUACAGCAAGGGACCUGCCCCCAGGGCGAUUUUUAUCAUCGAUGUCAUUGCUUCCCAAGAUUGAAAGCGGUUGUUCUAAAAUCUGGAUCCCCAAAAUCUGGUAGGGCAGCAUUUCGUGAACUAAGGCACCCAGACCCAGGAGGUCCUUGGUAACAUUUCAGAGACCUGUAAAACCAAAGGAGGAAAGUUGGUAGGUAUUUAGGAAGUUGGGUUUGGAUUCAAUUGUUAAACAACUUAAAACAUUAGUUUCUAGUGAAA
Molecule: long non-coding RNA, 1273 nt
Filed under: Homo sapiens (human)
Lineage: Eukaryota; Metazoa; Chordata; Mammalia; Primates; Hominidae
Description: HSALNT0157887
Source: RNAcentral